UAAUGUCUGGGAAACUGCCUGAUGGAGGGGGAUAACUACUGGAAACGGUAGCUAAUACCGCAUAAUGUCGCAAGACCAAAGUGGGGGACCUUCGGGCCUCAUGCCAUCAGAUGUGCCCAGAUGGGAUUAGCUAGUAGGUGGGGUAACGGCUCACCUAGGCGACGAUCCCUAGCUGGUCUGAGAGGAUGACCAGCCACACUGGAACUGAGACACGGCCCAG
This 220-nucleotide ribosomal RNA is filed under the name uncultured bacterium. RNAcentral's name for it is "partial 16S ribosomal RNA". It matches the Rfam family "Bacterial small subunit ribosomal RNA", at positions 111 to 334 of the family's 1533-position model. The record is from RNAcentral.